RNAcentral lists this ribosomal RNA (492 nucleotides) under uncultured bacterium. RNAcentral's name for it is "partial 16S ribosomal RNA". It matches the Rfam family "Bacterial small subunit ribosomal RNA", at positions 30 to 507 of the family's 1533-position model. The record is from RNAcentral.
AUUGAACGCUGGCGGUAGGCCUAACACAUGCAAGUCGAACGGCAGCACAGUAAGAGCUUGCUCUUACGGGUGGCGAGUGGCGGACGGGUGAGGAAUACAUCGGAAUCUACUUUUUCGUGGGGGAUAACGUAGGGAAACUUACGCUAAUACCGCAUACGACCUACGGGUUAAAUCAGUGGAUCUUCGGAGCUUUCGCGAUUGAAUGAGCCGAUGUCGGAUUAGCUAGUUGGCGGGGUAAAGGCCCACCAAGGCGACGAUCCGUAGCUGGUCUGAGAGGAUGAUCAGCCACACUGGAACUGAGACACGGUCCAGACUCCUACGGGAGGCAGCAGUGGGGAAUAUUGGACAAUGGGCGCAAGCCUGAUCCAGCCAUACCGCGUGGGUGAAGAAGGCCUUCGGGUUGUAAAGCCCUUUUGUUGGGAAAGAAAAGAAGCAGGUUAAUACCCCGCUGUUCUGACGGUACCCAAAGAAUAAGCACCGGCUAACUUCGUG